This 484-nucleotide ribosomal RNA is filed under the name uncultured bacterium. RNAcentral's name for it is "partial 16S ribosomal RNA". It matches the Rfam family "Bacterial small subunit ribosomal RNA", at positions 30 to 507 of the family's 1533-position model. The record is from RNAcentral.
AUUGAACGCUGGCGGCAGGCCUAACACAUGCAAGUCGAACGGAAGAACGGAGCUUGCUUGUGGUUCCAGAGGGGGACGGGUGAGAGUAGCAUGGGAAUCUGCCUGGCUGUGGGGGAUAAUGUCUGGAAACGGGUGCUAAUACUGCAUAAGACCUGAGGGAGAAAGUGGGGGAGCUUCGGACAUUUGACUAUCAGGUGAGUGUAGGUGGGGUUAGCUAGCUGGUGGGGUAAAGGCCGACUAAGGCGACGAUCCGUAGCUGGUCUGAGAGGAUGAUCAGUCACACUGGAACUGAGACACGGUCCAGACUCCUACGGGAGGCAGCAGUGGGGAAUAUUGGACAAAGGGCGAAAGCCUGAUCCAGCCAUGCCGCGUGUGUGAAGAAGGUCUUCGGAUUGUAAAGCACUUUUAUUUGGGAUGAAGAGCAGUAGGUUAAUACCUUGCUGUUUUGACGGUACCGACAGAAUAAGCACCGGCUAACUUCGUG